RNAcentral lists this ribosomal RNA (382 nucleotides) under Tromodesia sp. n. 2 AT-2015. RNAcentral describes it as "partial 16S ribosomal RNA". The record is from RNAcentral. Lineage: Eukaryota; Metazoa; Arthropoda; Insecta; Diptera; Rhinophoridae.
UCGAAGGUAGCAUAAUCAGUAGUCUUUUAAUUGAAGGCUGGAAUGAAUGAUUGGACGAAAUAUUAACUGUUUCAUAAAAAAUUAAUAUAAAAUUUUAUUUUUUAGUAAAAAAGCUAAAAUUUAUUUAAAAGACGAGAAGACCCUAUAAAUCUUUAUAUUUAUUUUAUUAUAAUUUUUUAGUUUUUGUUUGUUAUGAUAAUUAUUAAUAUUUUAUUGGGGUGAUAUUAAAAUUUAAUAAACUUUUAAUAUUUAAAAUCAUUUAUUUAUGAAUAAUUGAUCCAUUAUUAGUGAUUAAAAGAUUAAGUUACUUUAGGGAUAACAGCGUAAUUUUUUUGGAGAGUUCAUAUCGAUAAAAAAGAUUGCGACCUCGAUGUUGGAUUAA